This 460-nucleotide ribosomal RNA is filed under the name uncultured bacterium. Its description in RNAcentral is "partial 16S ribosomal RNA". It matches the Rfam family "Bacterial small subunit ribosomal RNA", at positions 338 to 795 of the family's 1533-position model. The record is from RNAcentral.
CCUACGGGUGGCAGCAGUGAGGAAUAUUGGUCAAUGGACGAGAGUCUGAACCAGCCAAGUAGCGUGAAGGAUGACUGCCCUAUGGGUUGUAAACUUCUUUUAUAUGGGAAUAAAAUGUUCCACGUGUGGGAUUUUGUAUGUACCAUAUGAAUAAGGAUCGGCUAACUCCGUUCCAGCAGCCGCGGUAAUACGGAGGAUCCGAGCGUUUUCCGGAUUUAUUGGGUUUAAAGGGAGCGUAGGUGGAUUGUUAAGUCAGUUGUGAAAUUUUGCGGCUCAACCGUAAAAUUGCAGUUGAAACUGGCAGUCUUGAGUACAGUAGAGGUGGGCGGAAUUCGUGGUGUAGCGGUGAAAUGCUUAGAUAUCACGAAGAACUCCGAUUGCGAAGGCAGCUCACUGGACUGCAACUGACACUGAGGCUCGAAAGUGUGGGUAUCAAACAGGAUUAGAUACCCGGGUAGUC